CCUGAAGCUGCGGAAGGGGCCAGUUCCAAUUGAAUCAUAGGAAUUAAAAGGCGGAGGAUGUUUUAAUAAAAUAAAAGAAAUAUGGUCAUAGAGACAAGAUCAUCUUUACAUUCUACAGAACAUCAGGUAGUCUACUGUAUUUAUGACAUCAAACAAAUUAGAUCUGAUGUCUGGAUGCCAGACUCAGGAUGACUAUUUAUCUGUGACACAAGAAGCAUGAACUGCUCCAAGAAACCCAAAAAUCCCCCAGGCCAUAGCUGAUUUUCUACAAUAUUAUACAUUGCAUCAUACAUAGCACUAAAACUAUUAAGAAAAGCUA
Molecule: long non-coding RNA, 319 nt
Organism: Suricata suricatta (meerkat)
Lineage: Eukaryota; Metazoa; Chordata; Mammalia; Carnivora; Herpestidae
Exons: 4
Source: RefSeq, a predicted model, not a curated record